AACGCUGGCGGCGCGCCUAACACAUGCAAGUCGAGCGAGAAAGCCCGGCAACGGGUGAGUACAGCGGCGUACGGGUGAGUAACACGUGGGUGAUCUACCUCCUUGUGGGGAAUAACCCUGGGAAACCGGGGCUAAUACCGCAUAAGCCCGAGAGGGGAAAGCAGCAAUGCGCUGGGAGAGGAGCCCGCGGCCGAUUAGUUGGAUGGCAGGGUAAAGGCCUACCAUGACUGAGAUCGGUAGCCGGCCUGAGAGGGCACACGGCCACACUGGCACUGAAACACGGGCCAGACUCCUACGGGAGGCAGCAGUGGGGAAUCUUGCACAAUGGGGGAAACCCUGAUGCAGCGACGCCGCGUGAGCGAUGAAGCCCUUCGGGGUGUAAAGCUCUUUCGGCAGGGAAGAUUAUGACGGUACCUGCAGAAGCAGCUGCGGCUAACUACGUGCCAGCAGCCGCGGUAAUACGUAGGCAGCAAGCGUUGUUCGGAGUUACUGGGCGUAAAGGGUGUGUAGGCGGUUUUCUAAGUCUGGUGUGAAAUCUCCCGGCUCAACUGGGAGGGUGCGCCGAAAACUGGAAGGCUAGAGUACUGGAUGGGUAAGUGGAAUUCCUGGUGUAGCGGUGAAAUGCGUAGAUAUCAGGAGGAACACCUGUGGUGUAGACGGCUUACUGGACAGUAACUGACGCUGAGACACGAAAGCGUGGGUAGCAAACAG
This 711-nucleotide ribosomal RNA is filed under the name uncultured Acidobacteriota bacterium. RNAcentral describes it as "bacterial SSU rRNA". It matches the Rfam family "Bacterial small subunit ribosomal RNA", at positions 32 to 775 of the family's 1533-position model. Lineage: Bacteria; Pseudomonadati; Acidobacteriota. The record is from RNAcentral.